RNAcentral lists this ribosomal RNA (433 nucleotides) under uncultured bacterium. RNAcentral describes it as "partial 16S ribosomal RNA". It matches the Rfam family "Bacterial small subunit ribosomal RNA", at positions 29 to 507 of the family's 1533-position model. The record is from RNAcentral.
AACGAACGCUGGCGGCAUGCCUAACACAUGCAAGUCGAACGAGACCUUCGGGUCUAGUGGCGCACGGGUGCGUAACGCGUGGGAAUCUGCCCUUGGGUUCGGAAUAACAGUUGGAAACGACUGCUAAUACCGGAUGAUGACGUAAGUCCAAAGAUUUACCGCCCAGGGAUGAGCCCGCGUAGGAUUAGCUAGUUGGUGGGGUAAAGGCCUACCAAGGCGACGAUCCUUAGCUGGUCUGAGAGGAUGAUCAGCCACACUGGGACUGAGACACGGCCCAGACUCCUACGGGAGGCAGCAGUGGGGAAUAUUGGACAAUGGGCGAAAGCCUGAUCCAGCAAUGCCGCGUGAGUGAUGAAGGCCUUAGGGUUGUAAAGCUCUUUUACCCGGGAUGAUAAUGACAGUACCGGGAGAAUAAGCCCCGGCUAACUCCGUG